UAAACCACGAUAGGUCACGAUUUCUGGAAUGGAUCAUGGCUUAAAUCUACAUGGCCCCUGGAUUGGACUGCGGCCGAUCAGGCUGUUGGUGAGGUAAUGGCCCACCAAACCUAUAACCGGUACGGGCUCUGAGAGGAGAAGCCCGGAGAUGGGCACUGAGACAAGGGCCCAGGCCCUAUGGGGCGCAGCAGGCGCGAAACCUCUGCAAUAGGCGAAAGCCUGACAGGGUUACUCUGAGUGAUUUCCGCUAAGGGGAUCUUUUGGCACCUCUAAAAAUGGUGCAGAAUAAGGGGUGGGCAAGUCUGGUGUCAGCCGCCGCGGUAAUACCAGCACCCCGAGUGGUCGGGACGAUUAUUGGGCCUAAAGCAUCCGUAGCCGGUUCUGCAAGUCUUCCGUUAAAUCCAGCCGCUCAACGGAUGGGCCGCGGAGGAUACUACAGGACUAGGAGGCGGGAGAGGCAAGCGGUACUCAGUGGGUAGGGGUAAAAUCCUUUGAUCCAUUGAAGACCACCAGUGGCGAAGGCGGCUUGCCAGAACGCGCUCGACGGUGAGGGAUGAAAGCUGGGGGAGCAAACCGGAUUAGAUACCCGGGUAGUCCCAGCUGUAAACGAUGCAGACUCGGUGAUGGGCUAGCCUUGUGCCAGCCCAGUGCCGCAGGGAAGCCGUUAAGUCUGCCGCCUGGGGAGUACGGUCGCAAGACUGA
Molecule: ribosomal RNA, 702 nt
Filed under: uncultured Thermoprotei archaeon
Lineage: Archaea; Thermoproteati; Thermoproteota; Thermoprotei
Description: bacterial SSU rRNA
Rfam family: Archaeal small subunit ribosomal RNA
Source: RNAcentral